This 468-nucleotide ribosomal RNA is filed under the name uncultured bacterium. RNAcentral's name for it is "partial 16S ribosomal RNA". It matches the Rfam family "Bacterial small subunit ribosomal RNA", at positions 28 to 507 of the family's 1533-position model. The record is from RNAcentral.
GACGAACGCUGGCGGCGUGCUUAACACAUGCGAGUCGAACGGAAAGGCCCUGCUUUUGUGGGGUGCUCGAGUGGCGAACGGGUGAGUAACACGUGAGUAACCUGCCCUUGACUUUGGGAUAACUUCAGGAAACUGGGGCUAAUACCGGAUAGGAGCUCCUGCUGCAUGGUGGGGGUUGGAAAGUUUCGGCGGUUGGGGCUGGACUCGCGGGUUAUCAGCUUGUUGGUGGGGUAGGGGCUGACCAAGGCUUUGACGGGUAGCCGGCCUGAGAGGGUGACCGGCCACAUGGGGACUGCGAUACGGCGCAGACGCGUACGGGAGGCAGCAGUGGGGAGUAUUGCACAAUGGGCGGAAGCCUGAUGCAGCAACGCCGCGUGCGGGAUGACGGGUUUCUGGUUGUAAACCGCUUUCGCCUGUGACGAAGCGUGAGUGACGGUAAUGGGUAAGGAAGCACCGGCUAACUACGUG